This 253-nucleotide ribosomal RNA is filed under the name uncultured bacterium. RNAcentral's name for it is "partial 16S ribosomal RNA". It matches the Rfam family "Bacterial small subunit ribosomal RNA", at positions 524 to 776 of the family's 1533-position model. The record is from RNAcentral.
GACAGAGGGGGCAAGCGUUGUCCGGAAUUACUGGGCGUACAGCGCACGCAGGUGGUCGGGUAAGUGUCGGGUGAAAGCCCCGCGCUCAACGCGGGGAGGCCUCGGCCGACUGCUCGACUGGAGGGCUGCAGAGGGUCGUGGAAUUGCCGGUGUAGUGGUGAAAUGCGUAGAGAUCGGCAGGAACACCAAGGGCGAAAGCAGCGACCUGGGCAGACCCUGACACUCAGGUGCGACAGCGUGGGGAGCGAACCGG